UACGUAGGGCGCAAGCGUUAUCCGGAAUUAUUGGGCGUAAAGAGCUCGUAGGCGGUUUGUCGCGUCUGCCGUGAAAGUCCGGGCUCAACUCCGGAUCUGCGGUGGGUACGGGCAGACUAGAGUGAUGUAGGGGAGACUGGAAUUCCUGGUGUAGCGGUGAAAUGCGCAGAUAUCAGGAGGAACACCGGUGGCGAAGGCGGUUCUCUGGCAUGUCCUGACGCUGAGGAGCGAAGUGUGGGAGCGAACAGG
This 249-nucleotide ribosomal RNA is filed under the name uncultured bacterium. RNAcentral's name for it is "partial 16S ribosomal RNA". It matches the Rfam family "Bacterial small subunit ribosomal RNA", at positions 524 to 776 of the family's 1533-position model. The record is from RNAcentral.